UUUCCGUAGGUGAACCUGCGGAAGGAUCAUUAACGAGUUAGGGUCUUCUAGGCCCGACCUCCCAACCCUAUGUUUAUUGAACCUCUGUUGCUUCGGCGGACCCGCCUCACGGCCGCCGGAGGACCGCUGCAAGGCGUCCUCUGGCCAGCGUCCGCCGAUGGCCAACCACUUAAACUCUGAAUGAAUCGUGUCAUAUGUCUAAGUCUAUGAUUAAAUUAAAGCAGAACUUUCAACAACGGAUCUCUUGGUUCUG
This 253-nucleotide unclassified non-coding RNA is filed under the name plant metagenome. RNAcentral's name for it is "partial contains small subunit ribosomal RNA, internal transcribed spacer 1, and 5.8S ribosomal RNA". The record is from RNAcentral.